RNAcentral lists this ribosomal RNA (374 nucleotides) under uncultured organism. RNAcentral describes it as "partial 16S ribosomal RNA". It matches the Rfam family "Bacterial small subunit ribosomal RNA", at positions 527 to 896 of the family's 1533-position model. The record is from RNAcentral.
GAACUGCGCGAACGUUAUUCGGAAUCACUGGGCUUAAAGAGUCCGUAGGCGGCCUGGCAGGUGGGGUGUGAAAGCCCACGGCUCAACCGUGGAAUUGCGCUCCAAACCGCCCGGCUCGAGGGAGAUAGAGGUGAGCGGAACUGAUGGUGGAGCGGUGAAAUGCGUUGAUAUCAUCAGGAACACCGGUGGCGAAAGCGGCUCACUGGGUCUCCUCUGACGCUGAGGGACGAAAGCUAGGGGAGCGAACGGGGGAUUAGAUACCCCGGUAGUCCUAGCUGUAAACGAUGAGCACUAGAUCGAGGGGACUCCCCACAUCCCCUUGGUCGUAGCGAAAGUGUUAAGUGCUCCGCCUGGGGAGUAUGGUCGCAAGGCUG